AAUAUUAAUUUAUUUAUGUACCAACUAAAAUAAUUUAUAUAUUUUUAUUUUGAUGGAAACAAUAAUAAAAGAUUACCACAGUAAAACACAGACAGAAGAAAAUCCUUUAGUUGUCAUCGAUUCAUAUUCUCCGAAAAUUGAAAGAUUCAAUGAAUCUAGUGAAGAAAUAGAAUACUUACAAACACUUAGUA
Molecule: long non-coding RNA, 191 nt
Organism: Rhopalosiphum padi (bird cherry-oat aphid)
Lineage: Eukaryota; Metazoa; Arthropoda; Insecta; Hemiptera; Aphididae
Exons: 4
Source: RefSeq, a predicted model, not a curated record